RNAcentral lists this ribosomal RNA (465 nucleotides) under uncultured bacterium. Its description in RNAcentral is "partial 16S ribosomal RNA". It matches the Rfam family "Bacterial small subunit ribosomal RNA", at positions 28 to 507 of the family's 1533-position model. The record is from RNAcentral.
GACGAACGCUGGCGGCGUGCUUAACACAUGCAAGUCGAACGGUGAACUCCGCUUGCGGGGGGAUCAGUGGCGAACGGGUGAGUAACACGUGGGCAACCUGCCCUCAGCUCUGGGAUAACUCCAAGAAAUUGGGGCUAAUACCGGAUAUGACCGCUGACCGCAUGGUCUGGUGGUGGAAAGAUUUAUCGGCUGGGGAUGGGCCCGCGGCCUAUCAGCUUGUUGGUGGGGUAGUGGCCUACCAAGGCGACGACGGGUAGCCGGCCUGAGAGGGUGACCGGCCACACUGGGACUGAGACACGGCCCAGCCUCCUACGGGAGGCAGCAGUGGGGAAUAUUGCGCAAUGGGCGAAAGCCUGACGCAGCGACGCCGCGUGGGGGAUGACGGCCUUCGGGUUGUAAACCUCUUUCAGCAGGGACGAAGCGAAAGUGACGGUACCUGCAGAAGAAGCACCGGCCAACUACGUG